CAGGCUUAACACAUGCAAGUCGAGGGGCAGCAUGGUCUUAGCUUGCUAAGGCCGAUGGCGACCGGCGCACGGGUGAGUAACACGUAUCCAACCUGCCGUCUACUCUUGGACAGCCUUCUGAAAGGAAGAUUAAUACAAGAUGGCAUCAUGAGUCCGCAUGUUCACAUGAUUAAAGGUAUUCCGGUAGACGAUGGGGAUGCGUUCCAUUAGAUAGUAGGCGGGGUAACGGCCCACCUAGUCUUCGAUGGAUAGGGGUUCUGAGAGGAAGGUCCCCCACAUUGGAACUGAGACACGGUCCAAACUCCUACGGGAGGCAGCAGUGAGGAAUAUUGGUCAAUGGGCGAGAGCCUGAACCAGCCAAGUAGCGUGAAGGAUGACUGCCCUAUGGGUUGUAAACUUCUUUUAUAAAGGAAUAAAGUCGGGUAUGCAUACCCGUUUGCAUGUACUUUAUGAAUAAGGAUCGGCUAACUCCGUGCCAGCAGCCGCGGUAAUACGGAGGAUCCGAGCGUUAUCCGGAUUUAUUGGGUUUAAAGGGAGCGUAGAUGGAUGUUUAAGUCAGUUGUGAAAGUUUGCGGCUCAACCGUAAAAUUGCAGUUGAUACUGGAUAUCUUGAGUGCAGUUGAGGCAGGCGGAAUUCGUGGUGUAGCGGUGAAAUGCUUAGAUAUCACGAAGAACUCCGAUUGCGAAGGCGGCCUGCUAAGCUGCAACUGACAUUGAGGCUCGAAAGUGUGGGUAUCAAACAGGAUUAGAUACCCUGGUAGUCCACACGGUAAACGAUGAAUACUCGCUGUUUGCGAUAUACAGCAAGCGGCCAAGCGAAAGCGUUAAGUAUUCCACCUGGGGAGUACGCCGGCAACGGUGAAACUCAAAGGAAUUGACGGGGGCCCGCACAAGCGGAGGAACAUGUGGUUUAAUUCGAUGAUACGCGAGGAACCUUACCCGGGCUUAAAUUGCAGAUGAAUUACGGUGAAAGCCGUAAGCCGCAAGGCAUCUGUGAAGGUGCUGCAUGGUUGUCGUCAGCUCGUGCCGUGAGGUGUCGGCUUAAGUGCCAUAACGAGCGCAACCCUUGUUGUCAGUUACUAACAGGUUCCGCUGAGGACUCUGACAAGACUGCCAUCGUAAGAUGUGAGGAAGGUGGGGAUGACGUCAAAUCAGCACGGCCCUUACGUCCGGGGCUACACACGUGUUACAAUGGGGGGUACAGAGGGCCGCUACCACGCGAGUGGAUGCCAAUCCCAAAAACCUCUCUCAGUUCGGACUGGAGUCUGCAACCCGACUCCACGAAGCUGGAUUCGCUAGUAAUCGCGCAUCAGCCACGGCGCGGUGAAUACGUUCCCGGGCCUUGUACACACCGCCCGUCAAGCCAUGGGAGCCGGGGGUACCUGAAGUGCGUAACCGCGAGGAGCGCCCUAGGGUAAAACUGGUGACUGGGGCUAA
Molecule: ribosomal RNA, 1437 nt
Filed under: uncultured organism
Description: 16S ribosomal RNA
Rfam family: Bacterial small subunit ribosomal RNA
Source: RNAcentral